AGAGUUUGAUCCUGGCUCAGGAUGAACGCUAGCGGCAGGCUUAAUACAUGCAAGUCGAGGGGCAGCAUGGUGUAGCAAUACACUGAUGGCGACCGGCAAACGGGUGCGGAACACGUACAGAACCUUCCUUCGAGCGGGGAAUAGCCCAGAGAAAUUUGGAUUAAUACCCCAUAGUACAUUGAGGCGGCAUCGUUUUAAUGUUAAAGAUUUAUCACUUGGAAGAUGGCUGUGCGGCUGAUUAGGUAGUUGGCGGGGUAACGGCCCACCAAGCCUGCGAUCAGUAACUGGUGUGAGAGCACGACCAGUCACACGGGCACUGAGACACGGGCCCGACUCCUACGGGAGGCAGCAGUAAGGAAUAUUGGUCAAUGGACGAAAGUCUGAACCAGCCAUGCCGCGUGGAGGAUGAAGGUCCUCUGGAUUGUAAACUUCUUUUAUAUGGGACGAAAAAAGGGCUUUCUAGCUCGUCUGACGGUACCAUAUGAAUAAGCACCGGCUAACUCCGUG
RNAcentral lists this ribosomal RNA (507 nucleotides) under uncultured bacterium. Its description in RNAcentral is "bacterial SSU rRNA". It matches the Rfam family "Bacterial small subunit ribosomal RNA", at positions 8 to 507 of the family's 1533-position model. The record is from RNAcentral.